CGGGCCGGGGGCCGUGGGGCGGGGUAGCGGCGCCUUUUCUCCCCGGCGGCUCGGAGAGGUGGGCCGGGGCUUUCAGAGGGGCUGACAGAUCUGAAGUUUUGGAGGCUGAAUGAAAGAAACACUCAGCUAACAAAACAGUGCGCCGCAGAAGAAGUUUCAUCUGAGUAGGUCUCAUUACUGGUGAUUAGCAGAUGAUUAAAACCAAUUCAGCUUCCCCCAGUAGAUAUUUUCUCCCUGUUUGUGACUAACGCGUCAGUCUUCAAUGAACGUGCUCCUAAGCUUAUUAACGGGCUCAGAGGAUUAGCUGCCACCGAGCGCCGCCACUCCGAUAUUGUGAUGCAGCGAGUGACAUGGAACCAUUUGCUGAGCACAGGUCACAUGAAACUCAAAAAUAACAAGAAAAUCCAUUGGAGUUUAAGGAGAAAUAUCCUGAUGAGAAUCCUCCCUUCCAUUUAGUUUCCAGUGCAGCUUAACUCUGAGUGUGCUGAAGCUUGAAAUGUAGCUUCCGAUUUAUAAUAGCGACAGGACAUGCAGCAAAUGUCAACAAAUCCCCUGUCACCCAGGCAAGGAGGAAAUGUGAGAGGUAAGCCAGAGUAGCCCUUCCUUGCUGCAUAAUGCACACACACACACACACAUAUAAAAAAAAAAAAAAAAGUCCUCAGUGAAGAAUAAAGAACUGAGAUCCUGCUCA
This 691-nucleotide long non-coding RNA is filed under the name Cyanistes caeruleus (blue tit). RNAcentral's name for it is "lncRNA (ENSCCEG00000022599.1)". The record is from RNAcentral. Lineage: Eukaryota; Metazoa; Chordata; Aves; Passeriformes; Paridae.